AUACUUACCUGGCAGGGGAGAUACCAUGAUCACCAAGGUGGUUUUACCAGAGCCAGGGCGAGGCUUAUCCAUUGUACCCCGAAUGUGUUGAUCCCUGAGAUUUCCCACAUAUGGGAAACUCAUCUGCAUAAUCUGUGGUAGUGGGGGGACUGCAUUCUCACACCCCCCAA
This is a small nuclear RNA of Carlito syrichta (Philippine tarsier), 170 nucleotides long. Its record names the gene U1. It matches the Rfam family "U1 spliceosomal RNA". Rfam says of the family: U1 is a small nuclear RNA (snRNA) component of the spliceosome (involved in pre-mRNA splicing). NCBI's taxonomy places the organism in Eukaryota, Metazoa, Chordata, Mammalia, Primates, Tarsiidae. The record is from Ensembl.